Molecule: ribosomal RNA, 2900 nt
Filed under: Klebsiella pneumoniae
Lineage: Bacteria; Pseudomonadati; Pseudomonadota; Gammaproteobacteria; Enterobacterales; Enterobacteriaceae
Description: 23S ribosomal RNA
Rfam family: Bacterial large subunit ribosomal RNA
Source: RNAcentral
UUAAGCGACUAAGCGUACACGGUGGAUGCCCUGGCAGUCAGAGGCGAUGAAGGACGUGCUAAUCUGCGAAAAGCGUCGGUAAGGUGAUAUGAACCGUUAUAACCGGCGAUGUCCGAAUGGGGAAACCCAGUGCAAUUCGUUGCACUAUCGUUAACUGAAUACAUAGGUUAACGAGGCGAACCGGGGGAACUGAAACAUCUAAGUACCCCGAGGAAAAGAAAUCAACCGAGAUUCCCCCAGUAGCGGCGAGCGAACGGGGAGCAGCCCAGAGUCUGAAUCAGCUUGUGUGUUAGUGGAACGGUCUGGAAAGUCCGACGGUACAGGGUGAUAGUCCCGUACACCAAAAUGCACAGGCUGUGAACUCGAAGAGUAGGGCGGGACACGUGGUAUCCUGUCUGAAUAUGGGGGGACCAUCCUCCAAGGCUAAAUACUCCUGACUGACCGAUAGUGAACCAGUACCGUGAGGGAAAGGCGAAAAAGAACCCCGGCGAGGGGAGUGAAAAAGAACCUGAAACCGUGUACGUACAAGCAGUGGGAGCACCUUCGGGUGUGACUGCGUACCUUUUGUAUAAUGGUCAGCGACUUAUAUUCUGUAGCAAGGUUAACCGUAUAGGGGAGCCGCAGGGAAACCGAGUCUUAACUGGGCGUUAAGUUGCAGGGUAUAGACCCGAAACCCGGUGAUCUAGCCAUGGGCAGGUUGAAGGUUGGGUAACACUAACUGGAGGACCGAACCGACUAAUGUUGAAAAAUUAGCGGAUGACUUGUGGCUGGGGGUGAAAGGCCAAUCAAACCGGGAGAUAGCUGGUUCUCCCCGAAAGCUAUUUAGGUAGCGCCUCGUGAAUUCAUCUUCGGGGGUAGAGCACUGUUUCGGCUAGGGGGUCAUCCCGACUUACCAACCCGAUGCAAACUACGAAUACCGAAGAAUGUUAUCACGGGAGACACACGGCGGGUGCUAACGUCCGUCGUGAAGAGGGAAACAACCCAGACCGCCAGCUAAGGUCCCAAAGUCAUGGUUAAGUGGGAAACGAUGUGGGAAGGCACAGACAGCCAGGAUGUUGGCUUAGAAGCAGCCAUCAUUUAAAGAAAGCGUAAUAGCUCACUGGUCGAGUCGGCCUGCGCGGAAGAUGUAACGGGGCUAAACCAUGCACCGAAGCUGCGGCAGCGACACUAUGUGUUGUUGGGUAGGGGAGCGUUCUGUAAGCCUGCGAAGGUGACCUGUGAGGGUUGCUGGAGGUAUCAGAAGUGCGAAUGCUGACAUAAGUAACGAUAAAGCGGGUGAAAAGCCCGCUCGCCGGAAGACCAAGGGUUCCUGUCCAACGUUAAUCGGGGCAGGGUGAGUCGACCCCUAAGGCGAGGCCGAAAGGCGUAGUCGAUGGGAAACAGGUUAAUAUUCCUGUACUUGGUGUUACUGCGAAGGGGGGACGGAGAAGGCUAUGUUAGCCGGGCGACGGUUGUCCCGGUUUAAGCAUGUAGGCUGGUUAUCCAGGCAAAUCCGGAUAAUCAAGGCUGAGGUGUGAUGACGAGGCACUACGGUGCUGAAGUAACAAAUGCCCUGCUUCCAGGAAAAGCCUCUAAGCAUCAGGUAACAUUAAAUCGUACCCCAAACCGACACAGGUGGUCAGGUAGAGAAUACCAAGGCGCUUGAGAGAACUCGGGUGAAGGAACUAGGCAAAAUGGUGCCGUAACUUCGGGAGAAGGCACGCUGGUGUGUAGGUGAAGUCCCUGCGGAUGGAGCUGAGACCAGUCGAAGAUACCAGCUGGCUGCAACUGUUUAUUAAAAACACAGCACUGUGCAAACACGAAAGUGGACGUAUACGGUGUGACGCCUGCCCGGUGCCGGAAGGUUAAUUGAUGGGGUUAUCCGUAAGGAGAAGCUCUUGAUCGAAGCCCCGGUAAACGGCGGCCGUAACUAUAACGGUCCUAAGGUAGCGAAAUUCCUUGUCGGGUAAGUUCCGACCUGCACGAAUGGCGUAAUGAUGGCCAGGCUGUCUCCACCCGAGACUCAGUGAAAUUGAACUCGCUGUGAAGAUGCAGUGUACCCGCGGCAAGACGGAAAGACCCCGUGAACCUUUACUAUAGCUUGACACUGAACAUUGAGCCUUGAUGUGUAGGAUAGGUGGGAGGCUUUGAAGCGUGGACGCCAGUCUGCGUGGAGCCAACCUUGAAAUACCACCCUUUAAUGUUUGAUGUUCUAACGUUGGCCCCUUAUCGGGGUUGCGGACAGUGUCUGGUGGGUAGUUUGACUGGGGCGGUCUCCUCCCAAAGCGUAACGGAGGAGCACGAAGGUUAGCUAAUCCUGGUCGGACAUCAGGAGGUUAGUGCAAUGGCAUAAGCUAGCUUGACUGCGAGCGUGACGGCGCGAGCAGGUGCGAAAGCAGGUCAUAGUGAUCCGGUGGUUCUGAAUGGAAGGGCCAUCGCUCAACGGAUAAAAGGUACUCCGGGGAUAACAGGCUGAUACCGCCCAAGAGUUCAUAUCGACGGCGGUGUUUGGCACCUCGAUGUCGGCUCAUCACAUCCUGGGGCUGAAGUAGGUCCCAAGGGUAUGGCUGUUCGCCAUUUAAAGUGGUACGCGAGCUGGGUUUAGAACGUCGUGAGACAGUUCGGUCCCUAUCUGCCGUGGGCGCUGGAGAAUUGAGGGGGGCUGCUCCUAGUACGAGAGGACCGGAGUGGACGCAUCACUGGUGUUCGGGUUGUCAUGCCAAUGGCACUGCCCGGUAGCUAAAUGCGGAAGAGAUAAGUGCUGAAAGCAUCUAAGCACGAAACUUGCCCCGAGAUGAGUUCUCCCUGAGACUUUAAGUCUCCUGAAGGAACGUUGAAGACGACGACGUUGAUAGGCCGGGUGUGUAAGCGCAGCGAUGCGUUGAGCUAACCGGUACUAAUGAACCGUGAGGCUUAACCUU